RNAcentral lists this ribosomal RNA (460 nucleotides) under uncultured bacterium. RNAcentral's name for it is "partial 16S ribosomal RNA". It matches the Rfam family "Bacterial small subunit ribosomal RNA", at positions 338 to 795 of the family's 1533-position model. The record is from RNAcentral.
CCUACGGGUGGCAGCAGUGAGGAAUAUUGGUCAAUGGACGAGAGUCUGAACCAGCCAAGUAGCGUGAAGGAUGACUGCCCUAUGGGUUGUAAACUUCUUUUAUAUGGGAAUAAAAUGUUCCACGUGUGGGAUUUUGUAUGUACCCUAUGAAUAAGGAUCGGCUAACUCCGUGCCAGCAGCCGCGGUAAUACGGAGGAUCCGAGCGUUAUCCGGAUUUAUUGGGUUUAACGGGAGCGUAGGUGGAUUGUUAAGUCAGUUGUGAAAGUUUGCGGCUCAACCGUAAAAUUGCAGUUGAAACUGGCAGUCGUGAGUACAGUAGAGGUGAGCGGAAUUCGUGGUGUAGCGGUGAAAUGCUUAGAUAUCACGAAGAACUCCGAUUGCGAAGGCAGCUCACUGGACUGCAACUGACACUGAGGCUCGAAAGUGUGGGUAUCAAACAGGAUUAGAUACCCUGGUAGUC